CUCCCCUGGCAAUGAGCAAGGAGACACCUUGGUGGUGGUGGUGUUCUUACAUCAGUCAGGGGCAGGGCAGAUGGCACUUCUUUGUUCAUCCUAGCUUGAUACCAGCCUUUGUGGCCAACGCUUUAUUAUGCCUAGGACACAUAA
This is a small nucleolar RNA of Apodemus sylvaticus (European woodmouse), 144 nucleotides long. RefSeq annotates it as small nucleolar RNA SNORA48. NCBI's taxonomy places the organism in Eukaryota, Metazoa, Chordata, Mammalia, Rodentia, Muridae. The transcript has a single exon. The record is from RefSeq and is a predicted model, not a curated record.